GACGAACGCUGGCGGCGUGCUUAACACGUGCAAGUCGAGCGGUAAGGCCCUUUCGGGGGUACACGAGCGGCGAACGGGUGAGUAACACGUGGGUGACCUGCCCUCAGCUCUGGGAUAAGCCUGGGAAACCGGGUCUAAUACCGGAUAUGACUCCAUGACGCAUGUUGUGGGGUGGAAAGCCUUGUGCGGCUGAGGAGUGGGCCCGGCGGCCUAUCAGCUUGUUGGUGGGGGUGAUGGCCACCAAGGCGACGACGGGUAGCCGGCCUGAGAGGGC
RNAcentral lists this ribosomal RNA (274 nucleotides) under uncultured bacterium. RNAcentral's name for it is "partial 16S ribosomal RNA". It matches the Rfam family "Bacterial small subunit ribosomal RNA", at positions 28 to 301 of the family's 1533-position model. The record is from RNAcentral.